RNAcentral lists this ribosomal RNA (501 nucleotides) under uncultured bacterium. RNAcentral's name for it is "partial 16S ribosomal RNA". It matches the Rfam family "Bacterial small subunit ribosomal RNA", at positions 29 to 523 of the family's 1533-position model. The record is from RNAcentral.
AUUGAACGCUGGCGGCAUGCCUUACACAUGCAAGUCGAACGGCAGCACGGGUGCUUGCACCUGGUGGCGAGUGGCGAACGGGUGAGUAAUACAUCGGAACGUACCUUAUCGUGGGGGAUAACGCAGCGAAAGCUGUGCUCAUACCGCAUACGCCCUGGGGGGGAAAGCGGGGGAUCGAAAGACCUCGCGCGAUUAGAGCGGCCGAUGCCUGAUUAGCUUGUUGGUGGGGUAAAAGCCCACCAAGGCGACGAUCAGUAGCUGGUCUGAGAGGACGAUCAGCCACACUGGGACUGAGACACGGCCCAGACUCCUACGGGAGGCAGCAGUGGGGAAUUUUGGACAAUGGGGGCAACCCUGAUCCAGCAAUGCCGCGUGAGUGAAGAAGGCCUUCGGGUUGUAAAGCUCCUUUGUCAGGGAAGAAACACCGGCUCUAACACAGUCCGGGAAUGACGGUACCUGAAGAAUAAGCACCGGCUAACUACGUGCCAGCCGCCGCCGUAA